RNAcentral lists this ribosomal RNA (472 nucleotides) under uncultured bacterium. RNAcentral's name for it is "partial 16S ribosomal RNA". It matches the Rfam family "Bacterial small subunit ribosomal RNA", at positions 28 to 507 of the family's 1533-position model. The record is from RNAcentral.
GACGAACGCUGGCGGCGUGCUUAACACAUGCAAGUCGAGCGGAAAGGCCCUUCGGGGUACUCGAGCGGCGAACGGGUGAGUAACACGUGAGUAAUCUGCCCUUGGCUUUGGGAUAACUACCGGAAACGGUGGCUAAUACCGGAUACGACAACCGUCUGCAUGGGCUGGUUGUGGAAAGUUUUUUCGGCCAGGGAUGUGCUCGCGGCCCAUCAGCUUGUUGGUGGGGUAAUGGCCUACCAAGGCUUCGACGGGUAGCCGGCCUGAGAGGGUGACCGGCCACACUGGGACUGAGACACGGCCCAGACUCCUACGGGAGGCAGCAGUGGGGAAUAUUGGACAAUGGGCGGAAGCCUGAUCCAGCAACGCCGCGUGAGGGAUGACGGCCGUCGGGUUGUAAACCUCUUUCAGUACCGACGAAGCGCCGAUGAUGGUGGUGACGGUAGGUACAGAAGAAGCACCGGCCAACUACGUG